Oxyura jamaicensis (ruddy duck) is the source of this 935-nucleotide long non-coding RNA. RefSeq lists it as uncharacterized. The record is from RefSeq and is a predicted model, not a curated record. Lineage: Eukaryota; Metazoa; Chordata; Aves; Anseriformes; Anatidae. The transcript has 3 exons.
CACAGAUGGAACCAGUUUUUGCAGAUGAAGCUGCUCUUGUUGGCCCUGCUUUGAGCAGAGUGGUUAGACUAGAUGGUCUCCAGGGAAGCCUUCCAAACUCUUCUGUGAUCUGCCAACCACUAGAAAACCAGGACUGCUGUACCACCCGACUCAGUACCUCCACCAGCAUAUUUGAAGAGGACAUUGGUGCUGGUCCUCUCACAGGAGGAAUGGGUCAUGUUGUGUCAAGGAUCUAUAGCAGACCUGUGCUUCUGUGCUCUCUGGUUUCUUGCCGAAGGGUUAGGGGUGGCUUCUAAACCUCAAAGUUACCUUGAACAUCACCAGCUUUUACACGUAUGUUAUGCAUAAGGUGAGGCCUGUAGAACUGGCUUCAGGUGUGGAAGUGCACAGAGAAAACAGAUGGAACAAAGGUUGCUUGUUUGGGGUCCUAGAAGAACAAGGGUUCAGAUCCCCCACAGGACUGAGGCACCAAGAUAAUUUUGGCAGUCUUGGCUAGCCAGGAGAUGGUACGCAGUGUGAAGUGCUACAAUAUGCAAUGGAAGGCAAAAUGGCAGAAUCUUGUCUGGAGUAACAUUCUGGGACAAUGCUGAAUUUGUAAACCAUUCAUGCAUUUCCACAAAAAGACAUGCAAAGGGAGAGAAGUGUACUUAGCUGAGCCACGAACAGCCUACUCCAGCGAUACCUUCAUUUGCUCAUGCUGAUACCAUCUGCAAGGAGAGGGUGUUGGAAAUGAGACCAAAGCAUUUUGCAAAAAGAAAAAAAAAUAAUAUUCAUCAACUUGCAAGCAAUAUAACUUCUGGUAUUUUCCCUUCAAAUUAAAAACACUUGUCAGGCAGAUUUCCAGCAUAGCGUGUGGUGAGUUUGUAGCAAAAUUAUGAUGAACAUAAAGAAAACACUGUCAGGUUCAGUUCAGCUCUAUAUCUGGGGUUUGGGGA